RNAcentral lists this ribosomal RNA (253 nucleotides) under uncultured bacterium. Its description in RNAcentral is "partial 16S ribosomal RNA". It matches the Rfam family "Bacterial small subunit ribosomal RNA", at positions 524 to 776 of the family's 1533-position model. The record is from RNAcentral.
UACGUAGGGUGCAAGCGUUGUCCGGAAUUAUUGGGCGUAAAGAGCUCGUAGGCGGUCUGUCGCGUCUGCUGUGAAAACUCAGGGCUUAACCCUGAGCUUGCAGUGGGUACGGGCAGACUAGAGUGCGGUAGGGGAGACUGGAAUUCCUGGUGUAGCGGUGAAAUGCGCAGAUAUCAGGAGGAACACCGGUGGCGAAGGCGGGUCUCUGGGCCGUAACUGACACUGAGAAGCGAAAGCAUGGGGAGCGAACAGG